This 403-nucleotide ribosomal RNA is filed under the name uncultured bacterium. RNAcentral's name for it is "bacterial SSU rRNA". It matches the Rfam family "Bacterial small subunit ribosomal RNA", at positions 355 to 774 of the family's 1533-position model. The record is from RNAcentral.
UAGGGAAUAUUGCAAAAUGGGCGAAAGCCCGAUGCAGCAACGCCGCGUGGGCGAUGAAGGCCUUCGGGUCGUAAAGCCCUUUUUGAGGGGAUGAGGAAGGACAGUACCCUCAGAAUAAGCCUCGGCUAACUACGUGCCAGCAGCCGCGGUAAAACGUAGGAGGCGAGCGUUAUCCGGAUUUACUGGGCGUAAAGCGCGUGCAGGCGGAUUGGAGAGUUGGAUGUGAAAGCUCCCGGCUUAACUGGGAGAGGUCGUUCAAUACUUCCAGUCUUGAGUGCAGUAGAGGGAAGUGGAAUUCCGGGUGUAGUGGUGAAAUGCGUAUAUAUCCGGAGGAACACCAGUGGCGAAAGCGGCUUCCUGGACUGUAACUGACGCUCAGACGCGAAAGCUAGGGUAGCAAACG